This 468-nucleotide ribosomal RNA is filed under the name uncultured bacterium. RNAcentral's name for it is "partial 16S ribosomal RNA". It matches the Rfam family "Bacterial small subunit ribosomal RNA", at positions 28 to 507 of the family's 1533-position model. The record is from RNAcentral.
GACGAACGCUGGCGGCGUGCUUAACACAUGCAAGUCGAACGGAAAGGCCCUGCUUUUGUGGGGUGCUCGAGUGGCGAAAGGGUGAGUAACACGUGAGUAACCUGCCCUUGACUUUGGGAUAACUUCAGGAAACUGGGGCUAAUACCGGAUAUGCGCUCCUGCUGCAUGGUGGGGGUUGGAAAGUUUCGGCGGUUGGGGAUGGACUCGCGGCUUAUCAGCUUGUUGGUGGGGUAGUGGCUUACCAAGGCUUUGACGGGUAGCCGGCCUGAGAGGGUGACCGGCCACAUUGGGACUGAGAUACGGCCCAGAAUCCUACGGGAGGCAGCAGUGGGGAAUAUUGCACAAUGGGCGGGAGCCUGAUGCAGCAACGCCGCGUGCGGGAUGACGGCCUUCGGGUUGUAAACCGCUUUCGCCUGUGACGAAGCGUGAGUGACGGUAAUGGGUAAAGAAGCACCGGCUAACUACGUG